Molecule: long non-coding RNA, 1440 nt
Filed under: Olea europaea (common olive)
Lineage: Eukaryota; Viridiplantae; Streptophyta; Magnoliopsida; Lamiales; Oleaceae
Description: long non-coding RNA (OEUR_LNC002166)
Source: RNAcentral
CCAUAAUCUUCUAUUCGCUUCGGUGCCUUCAACUAGAAAAACACCCGGAUUGGGUUACUGAUUUUGGAAGGAAAAGUUUCUUGCUGGUUUUGCCUUUUGACUUGCAGGAAAUUAAUCCAUUUGGGAAAAGUAAAAAGUUUGAUUAUCAAUGAAAUUUGGUUUUUCUGUUUCUUUUAAGAAAUUCUCCUGUUGUGGGAUCGAGUUCAAAUUCCCUGUUAGUCUCCAAAGUGGUAAGGUAGCAUGGAGGAGUAGUCAAAUUGGGUGAAGUAGACUGCCAAAAGUUGAAUCCGUCAGUAGUCUGUAACAAGAAGCCAUCGUGUUCAUCCAUGAGACUGAAAUCAAUAGUGUCAUCGGAUGCACCAUCUUCCAUGAUGAAUAAUAAGAAUAAUUGUCAAAUCUCCAUUCCGUAAAGCCUAGAAUAAAUGCAGACAACAAAAUCACGAUCCAAAACACAGAAGCAGCAUAAAUAUGAAAGACAAGAAGAGGAACUUCCAGGAAGGAUUCCUUUCCGUUGUCUUCCAAAACCCAGUUAGCCCUGGAGGUAGUAUAAACAUCGUCUAUUAAAAGUUCUUUGCAACUGCAAUCACAAAUGCAUUUCAGAGGCCAGAAAUCAAACGCACAGACGAUAAGAUUAGCAGGAAAAUCUAAAAAGUAUUUCGGGAUUCUGGGGGGAGUAAACCCAACAAAAGUUCAAACAAAAAACAAAUACAAUUACGAAUUGUUUCAACAAUAGCAGAAGAAAAGAAAAAGGGUCACAAAAGACGAAAUUAUAAUUGAAAACAGAGGUGAAAAAGGCAAAGCCACUCACUAUAUGUACAAUCUUACUGAAUCCUUAUGAACAGUAGAGUGAGUGAUUCAUAAAUAUGAUGACUACUGGUAAAUUGUUCCCUUCCGGUCUCAGAAUUGAGUCAAAUCUCACACACAAAUCAACAGAAGAUAAAUUUGUGAAACAAAUUUGGAAUGUUUCAAUUAUUUGCCUGUUGGCCGUUGUUUUUCAGGUAUUUUGUGCAAAUAAUGGGCGAGGAAUGAGAAAAGCGGGCAGAGGAAAUACUGUUGCUCCAUCAUGGAUGGGACCUACGGAAAGGACAGGUGAGAGAAUCAAAAACGAAAAUAGAUGUAGUUGAAAAGGAACAGCAGCUCAAUUUCCAUGUCAUAAAAUUCAGGAAUCAGGCAAAAUCAUGUUUUGAUUUCGUGUUUAUUAACUUAUUUACUCCGUGUGAAAAAGAUUCCUUCUAUCUUUUUCAGAGCAUUGAGGAUUUGUCCUACGUCUCGUCUGCAACUUCCUCUGAGGCGAUAUGCAGGAUUAUCACAUCUCUUCUUCGAGACAAUCACAUGACUCUGAAUCCUUAGCCACCCAACGCGGGACUUCUGAGUCCGAGGCAAUUGAGAUCCAAUAUGUUAUGCCUCGUGCAAGGAAUGAUUUUGUUAUAUGAAGCUACG